CAAUAGCGUAUAUUAAAGUUGUUGCAGUUAAAAAGCUCGUAGUUGAAUUUCUGGCGGGCGCGCCGGUCUUCCAAGUGUUGUACUGGGCGCAGUCCGCCAUCCUUGUGGAGAGGGCUCGCAUUGAGUUGCGUGUCGGAUCUGCAUCAUUUACUGUGAAAAAAUUAGAGUGUUUAAAGCAGGCUGUCGCUUGAAUACAUUAGCAUGGAAUAAUAAGAUAGGACUUCGGUCUAUUUUGUUGGUUGCGAACCGAGGUAAUGAUUAAUAGGGAUAGUUGGGGGUAUUCGUAUUCAAUUGUCAGAGGUGAAAUUCUUGGAUUUCUAGAAGACGAACUACUGCGAAAGCAUUUACCAAGGAUGUUUUCAUUAA
RNAcentral lists this ribosomal RNA (366 nucleotides) under uncultured eukaryote. RNAcentral's name for it is "partial 18S ribosomal RNA". It matches the Rfam family "Eukaryotic small subunit ribosomal RNA", at positions 592 to 976 of the family's 1831-position model. The record is from RNAcentral.